Molecule: long non-coding RNA, 324 nt
Filed under: Nicotiana benthamiana
Lineage: Eukaryota; Viridiplantae; Streptophyta; Magnoliopsida; Solanales; Solanaceae
Description: long non-coding RNA (NBEN_LNC036429)
Source: RNAcentral
AUAUGAAAUGAGCUAGAGAGGCUAAAUUUAGGAUGUUUGAUUGAACUCUUUUUGUAUUAAGAAUAGCUUAGAUAGUUAGAUGCGUGUUUAGGGUCUUUGGUGGAGUUACAUAUUCGACAUUAGAUCAAUGUUUGGACCAUGGGAAUAUGAGAAAGGGUCCCCAAAGAUCAAGGGGAGUCUGCCGUGAAACAUUGAAGCCUAUUUUGUUAUUUUAAGUUCGAGAUGUUAUUUAUAGUGAACAAAGUCAUGGUGAAUUGGUAAUUGAGAGGUGUGGAAGUUUUUAUGCAACUUAUUUCUUCCGUAUCUCUUUAUUUUUCUUUAAAU